UUAUCCUUUGUUGCCAGCGAUUAGGUCGGGAACUCAAAGGAGACUGCCAGUGAUAAACUGGAGGAAGGUGGGGAUGACGUCAAGUCAUCAUGGCCCUUACGACCAGGGCUACACACGUGCUACAAUGGCGCAUACAAAGAGAAGCGACCUCGCGAGAGCAAGCGGACCUCAUAAAGUGCGUCGUAGUCCGGAUUGGAGUCUGCAACUCGACUCCAUGAAGUCGGAAUCGCUAGUAAUCGUGGAUCAGAAUGCCACGGUGAAUACGUUCCCGGGCCUUGUACACACCGCCCGUCACACCAUGGGAGUGGGUUGCAAAAGAAGUAGGUAGCUUAACCUUCGGGAGGGCGCUUACCACUUUGUGAUUCAUGACUGGGGUGAAGUCGUAACAAGGUAACCGUAGGGGAACCUGCGGUUGGAUCACCUCCUUACCUUAAAGAA
RNAcentral lists this ribosomal RNA (438 nucleotides) under Salmonella enterica subsp. enterica. RNAcentral's name for it is "partial 16S ribosomal RNA". It matches the Rfam family "Bacterial small subunit ribosomal RNA", at positions 1105 to 1533 of the family's 1533-position model. Lineage: Bacteria; Pseudomonadati; Pseudomonadota; Gammaproteobacteria; Enterobacterales; Enterobacteriaceae. The record is from RNAcentral. RNAcentral also lists the same sequence under 1 other name.